GAUGAAGAACGCAGCGAAAUGCGAUAAGUAAUGUGAAUUGCAGAAUUCAGUGAAUCAUCGAAUCUUUGAACGCACAUUGCGCCCGCUAGUAUUCUGGCGGGCAUGCCUGUCCGAGCGUCAUUUCAACCCUCAAGCCCCCGGGCUUGGUGUUGGGGAUCGGCGAGCCUCCGCGCCCGCCGUCCCCUAAAUCUAGUGGCGGUCUCGCUGUAGCUUCCUCUGCGUAGUAGCACACCUCGCACUGGGAAACAGCGUGGCCACGCCGUUAAACCCCCAACUUCUGAACGUUUGACCUCGGAUCAGGUAGGAAUACCCGCUGAACUUAAGCAUAUCAAUAAGCGGAGGA
Molecule: unclassified non-coding RNA, 343 nt
Filed under: soil metagenome
Description: partial contains 5.8S ribosomal RNA, internal transcribed spacer 2, and large subunit ribosomal RNA
Rfam family: 5.8S ribosomal RNA (bases 1-120)
Source: RNAcentral